This 1372-nucleotide ribosomal RNA is filed under the name uncultured bacterium. Its description in RNAcentral is "bacterial SSU rRNA". It matches the Rfam family "Bacterial small subunit ribosomal RNA", at positions 28 to 1381 of the family's 1533-position model. The record is from RNAcentral.
GAUGAACGCUGGCGGCGUGCCUAAUACAUGCAAGUCGAGCGAACGGACGAGAAGCUUGCUUCUCUGAUGUUAGCGGCGGACGGGUGAGUAACACGUGGAUAACCUACCUAUAAGACUGGGAUAACUUCGGGAAACCGGAGCUAAUACCGGAUAAUAUUUUGAACCGCAUGGUUCAAAAGUAAAAGACGGUCUUGCUGUCACUUAUAGAUGGAUCCACGCUGCAUUAGCUAGUUGGUAAGGUAACGGCUUACCAAGGCAACGAUGCAUAGCCGACCUGAGAGGGUGAUCGGCCACACUGGAACUGAGACACGGUCCAGACUCCUACGGGAGGCAGCAGUAGGGAAUCUUCCGCAAUGGGCGAAAGCCUGACGGAGCAACGCCGCGUGAGUGAUGAAGGUCUUCGGAUCGUAAAACUCUGUUAUUAGGGAAGAACAUAUGUGUAAGUAACUGUGCACAUCUUGACGGUACCUAAUCAGAAAGCCACGGCUAACUACGUGCCAGCAGCCGCGGUAAUACGUAGGUGGCAAGCGUUAUCCGGAAUUAUUGGGCGUAAAGCGCGCGUAGGCGGUUUUUUAAGUCUGGUGUGAAAGCCCACGGCUCAACCGUGGAGGGUCAUUGGAAACUGGAAAACUUGAGUGCAGAAGAGGAAAGUGGAAUUCCAUGUGUAGCGGUGAAAUGCGCAGAGAUAUGGAGGAACACCAGUGGCGAAGGCGACUUUCUGGUCUGUAACUGACGCUGAUGUGCGAAAGCGUGGGGAUCAAACAGGAUUAGAUACCCUGGUAGUCCACGCCGUAAACAAUGAGUGCUAAGUGUUAGGGGGUUUCCGCCCCUUAGUGCUGCAGCUAACGCAUUAAGCACUCCGCCUGGGGAGUACGACCGCAAGGUUGAAACUCAAAGGAAUUGACGGGGACCCGCACAAGCGGUGGAGCAUGUGGUUUAAUUCGAAGCAACGCGAAGAACCUUACCAAAUCUUGACAUCCUUUGACAACUCUAGAGAUAGAGCCUUCCCCUUCGGGGGACAAAGUGACAGGUGGUGCAUGGUUGUCGUCAGCUCGUGUCGUGAGAUGUUGGGUUAAGUCCCGCAACGAGCGCAACCCUUAAGCUUAGUUGCCAUCAUUAAGUUGGGCACUCUAAGUUGACUGCCGGUGACAAACCGGAGGAAGGUGGGGAUGACGUCAAAUCAUCAUGCCCCUUAUGAUUUGGGCUACACACGUGCUACAAUGGACAAUACAAAGGGCAGCGAAACCGCGAGGUCAAGCAAAUCCCAUAAAGUUGUUCUCAGUUCGGAUUGUAGUCUGCAACUCGACUACAUGAAGCUGGAAUCGCUAGUAAUCGUAGAUCAGCAUGCUACGGUGAAUACGUUCCCGGGUCU